AAGCUGUCAGCAAAAUUUCUACUACAGAUAUGACAUGCGAGAGGAAAGCUUUUCAUAGUAAUCCACAUCCCAGCCACAGACGUUUGAUUAAGACUAGAGCAGAUAAAGGAUGCACACAGCACACAAGCUGUCAAAGGCAGCUACCCACAAAGCAAUCAACUGACUCUGAGAGGAAACAACAUCCUUGUCAAGACAAAAAAUAUUUCCGUUCAAGGCUGGGGGAUGGAGACAAUCACAAUAUAUCAAAGGUGUUACCUCUUGAAAUGCAGGAUGAACAGCCAUGUAAUGAAGAGCUUCAAUUUGUCAAAUCUGAAGCAGAUAGUGAAUCAGAAGUCAUUUGGAUUCUGUCAUCUGAUAGUGAAAAUGAAGAAGAGUCAAAGAAUAAAGUAUUUUAUUU
RNAcentral lists this long non-coding RNA (397 nucleotides) under Salvator merianae (Argentine black and white tegu). Its description in RNAcentral is "lncRNA (ENSSMRG00000003321.1)". Lineage: Eukaryota; Metazoa; Chordata; Lepidosauria; Squamata; Teiidae. The record is from RNAcentral.